This 498-nucleotide ribosomal RNA is filed under the name uncultured Sphingobacteriales bacterium. Its description in RNAcentral is "bacterial SSU rRNA". It matches the Rfam family "Bacterial small subunit ribosomal RNA", at positions 903 to 1382 of the family's 1533-position model. The record is from RNAcentral. Lineage: Bacteria; Pseudomonadati; Bacteroidota; Sphingobacteriia; Sphingobacteriales.
GCCAGCCCGCUCAGAAACUUAAAGGAAUUGACGGGGCCCGGCACAAGCGGAGGAGCAUGUGGUUUAAUUCGAUGAUACGCGAGGAACCUUACCUGGGCUCGAACGUAAGAUGACUGUAGGUGAAAGCUUACAUCUCUUCGGAGCAUUUUACGAGGUGCUGCAUGGUUGUCGUCAGCUCGUGCCGUGAGGUGUCGGGUUAAGUCCCAUAACGAGCGCAACCCCUACCUUUAGUUGCCAUCAGGUUAAGCUGGGGACUCUAAAGGAACUGCCUACGCAAGUAGUGAGGAAGCGGGGAUGACGUCAAAUCAGCACGGCCCUUACGUCCAGGGCUACACACGUGCUACAAUGGCCGAUACAGAGGGCAGCUACCUGGUGACAGGAUGCAAAUCUCCAAAGUCGGUCUCAGUUCGGAUCGGAGUCUGCAACCCGACUCCGUGAAGUUGGAUUCGCUAGUAAUCGCGCAUCAGCCAUGGCGCGGUGAAUACGUUCCCGGGCCUU